RNAcentral lists this transfer RNA (88 nucleotides) under Candidatus Terraquivivens tikiterensis. Its description in RNAcentral is "Aigarchaeota archaeon NZ13_MG1 tRNA-Ser". It matches the Rfam family "tRNA". Rfam says of the family: Transfer RNA (tRNA) molecules are approximately 80 nucleotides in length. Their secondary structure includes four short double-helical elements and three loops (D, anti-codon, and T loops). Further hydrogen bonds mediate the characteristic L-shaped molecular structure. tRNAs have two regions of fundamental functional importance: the anti-codon, which is responsible for specific mRNA codon recognition, and the 3' end, to which the tRNAs corresponding amino acid is attached (by aminoacyl-tRNA synthetases). tRNAs cope with the degeneracy of the genetic code in two manners: having more than one tRNA (with a specific anti-codon) for a particular amino acid; and 'wobble' base-pairing, i.e. permitting non-standard base-pairing at the 3rd anti-codon position. The record is from RNAcentral. RNAcentral also lists the same sequence under 3 other names. Lineage: Archaea; Thermoproteati; Nitrososphaerota; Candidatus Wolframiiraptoraceae.
GCCGGGGUAGCCUAGCUGGUAAGGCGCAGGCCUGGAGAGCCUGUGGCCCUUUCGGGCCUCGUGGGUUCGAAUCCCACCCCCGGCGCCA